Molecule: non-coding RNA, 98 nt
Organism: Pelobates cultripes (western spadefoot toad)
Lineage: Eukaryota; Metazoa; Chordata; Amphibia; Anura; Pelobatidae
Source: the annotation of a GenBank genome assembly
UCCUGCUCAGCUCCCUCCGCGCCGCUUAAUGAAACUGGAAUAUGACAUCAGACCAGCUCCCGGCAUCACUAAGCGGCGUGCGAGGGAGCUGAGCAGGA